Long non-coding RNA from Neodiprion fabricii, 862 nucleotides. RefSeq lists it as uncharacterized. The record is from RefSeq and is a predicted model, not a curated record. NCBI's taxonomy places the organism in Eukaryota, Metazoa, Arthropoda, Insecta, Hymenoptera, Diprionidae. The transcript has 2 exons.
CGCCAGGACCAACCCCAGCAUAGUCCGCUCCUGGAAAUUCAUAAAACCCAGGAGAUUACGUCUCGUCGUCGUUGUGAAAUGCGGAUUGAUCGUUAGCUGAAGUUGGAGAAUAAUUGUAAAUCGAAGGUAUACGAAGAGACGUACACAGGCGACGGUAGUUCGGCACGUCUGAGGAAUUCCAUUCGCCAAUCAAUUCCAUGCAGCGGGCCAAAUGCUGUCGAUGUUUGUCAAGGCAAGAGAACACCGAAGUCAACGGUCAAUUAUUUUACAACAAGGUUUGCAACGCGGUUUGUCGAUCCGCACGCCGAGGAAUGUUCCCGAGGGAUUUGCUCCAGGUUCAUUCUAGGAAGAUAAAUUAUUUAGAAGGAAAGCCGUCUUGUUCCCUGCCCACAAACACUGCAGCGUUACUUUUUUAAAGCCCAAUUUCCUGCCGCUCCGAAGCUGAGCCCUUCUGCGAUUUUCGUCGCCGAACAACUAUUGAACGUUUCAUAAACCGCGAGUGCUGUUCAAUUUUUGACAAUUCGCGAUCAACUCGUGAAAUUCGAGCUGGCGAGACGUUCACAGAUGAUUACGAUCCGGGUACCACGAUUAGGAUGGUUCGAAAAACAUGCGCUGCAAAACUUUUUCGUUUAAUGUGCUUACCGAGUUUAUAAUUUACCACGUUUAACAAGGAUAUAGUUAAUAAUGCAUGGUAUAAGUAUCGACGAUUCGAAUUUCCGGUUGUAUAAUAUAAUUCGUCGUGCUUCAUUAACGGGUUAUUAUAUUAGAAAAAAAAUCGACGUGAUUAUUUAUUCUUCUUCAUCUUAGUCUUCAGUUUCCGUAAGCAAAUGUCAAGGACUUCCCGACGUUCGACAUAGGAACA